UGCGCAAAGCUAGAGGCGAUAUCGUAGCCAGUGAGGUUAAUCCGAGGCGCGAUUAUUGCUAGUUGAAAACUAUUCCUAAAAUUUGAAAGUAACAGCCCAAUUGGAGGAUCAAUGAAUGAAGAUCCUGUACUGGG
Molecule: small nuclear RNA, 134 nt
Organism: Centruroides sculpturatus (bark scorpion)
Lineage: Eukaryota; Metazoa; Arthropoda; Arachnida; Scorpiones; Buthidae
Product: U4 spliceosomal RNA
Exons: 1
Source: RefSeq, a predicted model, not a curated record